CAAUCCGCUCUUUUCAGAGCGACCAACACAUUUAUACGUGGAAUAU
Lasius niger is the source of this 46-nucleotide non-coding RNA. The record is from Rfam. Lineage: Eukaryota; Metazoa; Arthropoda; Insecta; Hymenoptera; Formicidae.